CCUUGCCUCGCCGCCUCUCCCUCAAAACUCCGGCCGACAGCAGCAGGAGAACCACCGCCGCCGACCGCAUCUGCCUCCCUCCACUCUCGACUCAAAACAACAGUAAACGUUCAAACAACGACAAGCACAAACAAAGCUCAAGACUCCUUCUUUCUUCUUUUUCUUAAAAUCAUGCUCUGAUGUAUGUACAUAUAUAUAUAUAUACAGAUCAUUUAUACAUAUCUACACUUGUAUAAAAACUUGUUUGUGAAUGCAUGUAUGCUCGUGAAUCUUGGUUGGGCAG
This 283-nucleotide long non-coding RNA is filed under the name Salvia miltiorrhiza (redroot sage). RNAcentral describes it as "long non-coding RNA (SMIL_LNC013925)". The record is from RNAcentral. Lineage: Eukaryota; Viridiplantae; Streptophyta; Magnoliopsida; Lamiales; Lamiaceae.